RNAcentral lists this non-coding RNA (29 nucleotides) under Homo sapiens (human). The record is from RNAcentral. Lineage: Eukaryota; Metazoa; Chordata; Mammalia; Primates; Hominidae.
UGGUGAUCCUGGCAUGGUGAUAUGCUCCA